This 1305-nucleotide long non-coding RNA is filed under the name Numida meleagris (helmeted guineafowl). RNAcentral's name for it is "lncRNA (ENSNMEG00000021776.1)". Lineage: Eukaryota; Metazoa; Chordata; Aves; Galliformes; Numididae. The record is from RNAcentral.
CUGGGAAUUGUAUCUGUGUGAAAAAUCUAACUUAGGAGGCAGCAUCAAUUAGUAUCUUGUCUAAGACAAAAUUUAGGGAGCUCUGCCUUGACUAUCCCUUGUGUCUACCCACAGUACUCAGCCUCCCCAAGUACCUGAGGAUGUGAAACACCAUGGCCAGCCUCCAUCACCCAGAACUAGGCUCAGCACAAACCUCUCCUGCUGAGGUCUCAAAAGCAAAAGAGCCAUAUCAGCAGGUGAUGAGAUUUAAGCAGAGUCAGACUUCGCAUUUUGCUGACAUGCACAGGCAUUGAACAGUCUCAGAGCUACUACUCUACAUCACCUAGUUUUCAUUUGUUGGUUACAUCCCAUUAACACAUUUUUAUAUCUUUUUUCAUAACCAUAACACUCAGUAAGUAAGUAGUUUGCCUUCUUACUUUUAACACAAAAUGAUCUCAAAGAAGGUAGUAGAUUAAAGCAGUGCUACAAUGAAUCAUGGAUUUAUAUAUGAGUUCCUGAACCUUUAGUUAUUUAAGCCUGUAAAUGACUACAAAUGGAAGAGUCAUUGCAUUCUCCCCAGAUUAAUUGAGGUGAAUACAAAAAAAAAAACUAUUUCUCUUUGAAAUGGCAUAACUGGCAAUAGUCAGUAUGCCCUUUGUUUAAAAAAGUGGCAGAAUUGUCAAAGAAAUUACUUAAAACAUGGAGUUUCUCUUGUUCUUAUGUUGUUUUAUCAUUCUCUGUAAACACAGACUUAGUGUAUGUACUAAGAACUGACAUCAAAGACUGGUGGAGCAAAUGAGAUUUUUUCCAUUAAUGUAAACACUGUUUAGAUUAGAUAUUCUGCAGAGAGAACUGAAGUUUCCAGUUAAUCUUUCAAAUACCUAUGUCAUUUGUUGAACAGUGUAAUGCUAUCUAACAUGGUACUUCUGUUCUAAGUGUAAAGGGAACAUUUGCAAAACAUGUCACCCAUUACUGAUUGCAAGCUCUAUUUACUGUUUAAUCAGCUAAUAUUUAUGUUAGUUGUCUUACUUCUGUUCUGUAUAACUGCUGACAUACUGCAUAAAUAAGGAUAAAAUUUAGGGAGAUCAUCUUAUACUGUUCUAAACUGGGACAAUGUCCCAGUAUUCCCCAGAUGAGAUGAAGUUCAUAUUCUUCUGCUGUUAACCACACACUAAAGGAUUAUUAGAAAAUCUAGUCAUUAAGGAUUUUGUGCAAUUGCCAGAGAAAUAAGAGUGUGCUGUCCUUCAUGUUGCUGUUUUUUCAACCUUAGUGCUAUCACCAAAUCUGGGAAAUAAAUUUUUCUAGUUUUCUGUGGUUUAAAGGUUA